GUGGCUGUAGCUCAGCUGGUAGAGCACCGGGUUGUGGUCCCGGGUGUCGUGGGUUCAAGUCCCAUCAGUCACCC
Molecule: transfer RNA, 74 nt
Filed under: Actinocatenispora rupis
Lineage: Bacteria; Bacillati; Actinomycetota; Actinomycetes; Micromonosporales; Micromonosporaceae
Description: tRNA-His
Rfam family: tRNA
About the family: Transfer RNA (tRNA) molecules are approximately 80 nucleotides in length. Their secondary structure includes four short double-helical elements and three loops (D, anti-codon, and T loops). Further hydrogen bonds mediate the characteristic L-shaped molecular structure. tRNAs have two regions of fundamental functional importance: the anti-codon, which is responsible for specific mRNA codon recognition, and the 3' end, to which the tRNAs corresponding amino acid is attached (by aminoacyl-tRNA synthetases). tRNAs cope with the degeneracy of the genetic code in two manners: having more than one tRNA (with a specific anti-codon) for a particular amino acid; and 'wobble' base-pairing, i.e. permitting non-standard base-pairing at the 3rd anti-codon position.
Source: RNAcentral